RNA transcript from Panicum virgatum (switchgrass), 6374 nucleotides. It is a transcript of the gene named rRNA 2'-O-methyltransferase fibrillarin 1-like, with no coding region annotated. The transcript is spliced from 10 exons. The record is from RefSeq and is a predicted model, not a curated record. Lineage: Eukaryota; Viridiplantae; Streptophyta; Magnoliopsida; Poales; Poaceae.
CUUAUCUACAACCUGAGGCUCCCUCGUCGUCUUGUUCGUGCCGCUCCCUCGCCUCGCCCUCCCCCGGAUCCGGAGCUGAGCUCCCUACGGUGGCACUCCCUUGCCUCUGCUACCUCGCCUCGCCAUCGCCCGGAUCCGGGGCUCCCGGUGGCGGCGCUCCGUCGUGUCGCGCUCGCUCGGGUCCCGGGCUCCCGGCGGCGGCGGUCGCCUUGUCUCUCCCGGGUCCGGGGCUGCCGGCGGCGGCGCUCCUAGGUCGUCGGCGGCGCGGGCGGCAACAGGCUGCUGGCCGGGUACCUGGCGCACGAGUUCCUACGGCGCAGCACGCUCCUCGGCGAGCGGAGGCUGCAGCCGUCGGGGCGGAAGGAGAAGGAACCCGCCCUUGCCGUCCCCGCGCCCGAGUCGAGCAGGCGCUACGCGGAGGUUUCGCGGCUGCUCAUGGCGGUCGGGGCCCGCAUCCCCGGCGUUGUCAACCCGUCGCAGCUCGGCCGCCGGCUCUGGAUUAAGGAGUGACCGGCCGGCCAUGCCGUGAGACCGCAGGAGCAACGCGCGGAGGGGCGGCAUUGCCUGCUGGUUUGCCUCGCCUCCCCUCAGCGGCCGCGCUCUCUGCCCUCCUCGGCGGACGACCAACCCGAAGAACAGCGGAUGCUUCUGCACACAGCAAGCGGGUCUCUCAUCUCGAUCCGUGCUUCUUCCCUGUUUCUUUGAGCAUUAAAAGACUGCGUCUGUUGCCAUCUUGGGUUCUCCAAAUUUGCAGACGUUGGUGCGUGUGGUAUGGUUUCGGCCAUGCUAUCCAAUCGGUUUUAUCUCCCUCGUUCCAGAAUUCUGCUUUGCCUUCGUUGAUCCGGGGAGGUAGUCCAUUUUUGUUCCAUUUUGAAAUGUUUUGUUUCCAUAAGGACCGAUGGUGCCUAUUCAGGGUUAUCUUGCUGUCCAAUUGCGACAGAACCUGUGAUCGGAAACUUUCUACUUCUACUGGACAGCUAGAACAUUACUGAUGAAAACGAGCAGAAAGCUUAGGUCCUCUUUUGUGAAUACUUUUUGCCGGGAACACCUUGAUGACAACCGUGAGUUUUUCUCCUACAAUUGCUGAUAUCUCUGGUGGUAAUUCAGAUCUGUUGUUUUGUCUUAUCAAUCUAUCUGCAGUUUUGCCAAUAAGUGAUGUUCCUCUCUCAUCAAAGAGCAUAAAUUCCAGCUCACAAGUGCCAUCAGUGCCAUAUAGAGAUAUUUUAUACCUGUUUACAGUGUAGGUUAUAGAUGCUGAUAAAAUGCAAUGAGUUGUGUUUUGAAAUAUUAUUGCAUAGAGUGUACCUAUUUGUCAUCUGAGAGGAGAUAUGGCCUUGCUUGCAAAUAUAAGAGUUUCCUUCAUGUCUUGUCGAUGUAUUACAUUUUGUGCAUCCUUGGUAGCACCAAGAUUCAUUGUCUGAAAUUCUUGUCACUGUGAUGGUGCAUUCGAAACGUUUGGUCUGAAAAUAUAAGCAUUAUUAAGUAACUAUAUAAGUUAGGUGAAAGCAAUUUAAUUUUUUUUUAGUUUGAGAGUGAUGUAGAGUAUCUUACCGAGUCCUCAAACGGAUCGAUUGAUUUCAUUUCCAAAAGUGAUUUCUGUUCAAUCUUGCUCUGCAUCUCGUUCAUCGUCUGAAUAUGAAGCUUUUGGGUUGGCUGGGAGUGUUCACCAAUACUGCAAAUAUAAAAGUCAGAGCUUAGUUAAGUGCAAGGGUGACUGUAUACAUGUAGAAUAAAAGGUAUUGCAUUUUUUUAAAUGAAAGGUAGAUUAUACAAAGGAUUACAAUUUACCUUGCAUAGAAUGCGUUGAUUUCAUUGAUCUCUGGUAGAUUUAUAUACCAGCGGCAUGCAGCUGUGCCGCUGAGGAAAGGGGUUGAUCCGCCAUAGGAUUUAACUGAUGUUCCAACAAAGAUAGCAAUGAUAUGAUUCUUUUCACUGGCUCUAAAGAUUUGUUCUCCUGGGAAUUCCUCUGCUCUUGGUCCCCAUAGGGAUACCUCAAUUUUAUUUCCCCUUCAUUAAAUUGUAAUUAUGUUAUAGUGGGGGUGUAUUGCUGUAUUCUAAAUUCGUUAGAUUAUUAUCAAAAAAGGAAUAAGUAUUUUACCUUAGAUCCAUAAGGUGGAUCAGCCUUUUCAUGCGUAUUGCUCCACUGUUGGUUGAAAACAUUGUUGGAUCAGAAAGAGCCGUAAUGCGUCCAAUGACAUCUGUAGGUUAUAAUUUCAUCAAUCUUAAUUUGUUGGAAUGUUUAAUUUUUUUUACUAUUAGAAAAGAGAGAGAAACAACAGUACCAAUGAAAUACUCAUUGUUUCCUUCGAGUUGUGGUAGCUCUGUAAAUGGUGUGAGAUGGAAUGUAUAUUUUGGGAAAUCUUGUGGUUCUGGAUUCACCUCUUGAAGCACAGUCUUUGGAUGCAAUCUGAUCAUAUACAUUGCACGUACUGGUUUGUAUGAUUGCUUUGCAUUGUCAAUAUAAAUUUUUCUCAUGAUUAAUAUUUUGUUCUCCUGCAGCUGUGGUCGAAGUGCUGAUAUGGCCUCUGGAGGAACUUCAGCAUACAUUGCGGUUCCCUAUAAAAGUAACAGGUAGUAUCUGUUUUGGAUCUCCUCCUAGGACCACCACUUUGCCUCCAAAAGGGCUUCAUCCCAUAUAAUAAGAUCGGUAUCAAUAAGAAGCUUUGCCAGGUUUGUUCCUCUUUUUAUGUCACACAUUGAUAAUUGGUCCAAAUCUAUUGGUAUACGAAAUCUUGAGUGAGCUGUUCGUCCAUUUGGAAGUAGCAAAGAAGCGACUCCUGAUGAUGCAACUGUAAGAACAAUCUUUUUUCUAGCUCUAAGAUAUGAUACGAUGGCCUUCCAUAAAAAUAUUUUUCCAGUUCCUCCAUGUCCAGAGACAAAAUAGAAAUUUCCAUUGCUUGCAAGCACAGAAUUAACAAUGCUAUGAAAAGCUUUAUUUUGAUCUUUGUUUAGUUGUACAUAUAAUUUGUUUGCUUCUUCUUCUAAGUACUUUGUAUCAUAGCUCAUUUCUUCUUGGAUUAGUCUGUUUAUGUUAUCAACUUUCUUUGUGCUGUGUCCCUUGGGUAAAUUGUAAGCAUUUAUUUCUUGGCCAUUCUUAGAGAAUAACUCUUCGAGUUCUUCAAGUAAACAUUGCUGCAGUUCAAAUUCAGAGGGUGCAUAUUUAAUAGGGUGGUAUUUUUGAAUGAGGUUUUUCGGUAUGUCAUCAACCAUUGUAUGCCAUGUUGCAUUGAAAAAUUCUUUUUCAUCUUUUAUUUGACAAUAUGUUAGCAUUAUAACAAAUAGAUUACGUAGUUGAAAAGAUGUUGCCCAAUUGGUUGCUUCAUGAUAUGUAUGAUACCACUCCUUGUCAUCAUCCAAUAAUCCUCUAGCUGCACAAGCCUCUUUAAAUGUUUGGUACAGGACACCAUUAUAUGUUCGUAUUUCUUCAUAGCUUUUAGCACCUUUAACAAUCAUUAGAAGCAUUCUUAAAUAGAAUCUUUCACCUUCAGCUGGGUUAACAUAAUAGAGCCUUCCGAUUUUGAAACCAUGUUGUCUUUUUUUCCAUUGCUUCUGUGCUCCAUCCCAGCGCCACUUUCUUGGGAAUUCAUAGUAUGUUAAUUCUCUUGCAUCUUUAUGCUCUUUAUUUGCAGUAAACCAUUCAGUGAGCAUUGUUUUUGCAUAGUUUGGAUCUUUAGCUAUUUGAGCCAGUUUUUCAUCUGAUUUCAUCUUAACGAUAUUCAUCAAUGGUAGAUGAACCGGUAAUCUUUCUACAGGUGGCCAAUGAUAAUGUAUUUCAUAUCCUAAUAAUCUCCAAAGAGCAUCUUGUUCGCAUAUAUACCUGCAGUCUAGAUACUCUUGUAUCUCAUCUAUAGUGUCUGUUUCCUUGUUUAGAGGUGGUUCUUGUUCUUUUUUUAUUUUUUCGAAUAUGACCUGUGCUCGAUCAGGUCCCUUGUUUACAUAUUUGCAUAGGUAUUUCAGAACUCUACUCUUGUUUACAUACUCAACAUUUAUGUGGGCUUGGUAUCUUUUUAAUAGUAUCAAAUUAUGCGGCACAACCCAUCUAUUGUCCAAGUUGUGUUGCUCCCUUCUUAUGAAAAUCCCAUUGUUCCUUCUUCGAUAUAUUGUGAAACCAUUCUCAGAGAAUGUGGUGUUCUCUACAAAAUCUUUGGGAUAAAAUUUGGAGCAUUUGCCUUUCUUCAUGCAUGGACAAUUCCAGUUUUUCUCUCCACAUGGUCCAUGCAUCAUAUGCUCGGCAACAAGAGUAUAUCCUAAAGGAUCUAUCUCAGGAUCUACUAUUUCAGCAGAUAUCCAAGAAUCUAUUGUUUCUGAAGUUACUUCAUAACCGUUCUUGUCUAACCAAACUAAUAUGUGAACAUGCGGUAGUCCUCUUUUUUGAAAUUCUAUAGAAUACAGAAGUGCUAGUAUAGGGCCAAAUAUUUUUCCUGAAUGUAAGUCAUCCAAAAGUUGUUGCAGUUUCAUAUAGAAAACACAGACAAUAAUAUCUGGUCUAUCAUUUGCGUGUUGAUCGGGUAACAAACAUGAUGUUAUUUCAGUCCAUUUUGGGUUGCAAGUGAAUGUAAUAAAAAGAUCUGGCGGUCCAUAGACACAACAAAUAGCAAUACCGUCAUGGUAAUUUUGUACUAUAUAUCGUCUUGAUCCAACAUGGCUAGAUGGUAGUAACACUUUUUUGCCUAUUUGGCUUGCAUCAUAUAUUCCUUUUUCUACAGCAUCGAAAACACCUUGAAUAUAUUCAGCUCGUAAUUUAGAUUGGUUUCUAAUAAUGUAAUCAAGUCGAUCUUCAUCUUCCAUUGCUCGACCAUCUACUAUUAUUUGCUUUGAUAGUCGGCCAUAGCAUAACCAAGGAUUAGGUUGAUCAGGUCUGUAAUGCACAUGGUAUUUUAGAAAUUCAUGCAUAGUUAUUGUCUCUCUCUUAGAGUUUUCUCCCUUUUGGUUAAGGUUUGGUCCUUGGUACUUUAUACCUAGCUGGAAGCCUCGUUCUCCAUAUGGGAAUAGGAGCGGGUAUUGUAGCGGCAUAUAUGCUGGAUGAAAAAUAGAUAUCCGCUGUAGACCAUUGUUGUGUGUGCUAACAAUAAUAUCUCGUUUGUAGUUCUCCAGAGAUAAGUCACCUACAAUUAAUAUAGCUAAUUCUUCUUGAUGUGGUAUUUCAUAUUGAAUUCUAUCGCUUUUAUCAGCACCUAAUAUUCUAAUACUUAUAUCAAUGCCUUUAUGUUCUUCGACAAAAUCACGAGCCUGGCGAAAGAUUUUUACUAAUGGAUUAUAUUGGUCUAGCAUUCUUUGUAGGCCUUUUACUAUUUCUGGAUCUAGAUUUUGCUCGUCUGGUUCUUCUUUUGUUAAGGCCCUGAUUCUAUUCUCAAUUUCAUUCUUUGUAUCAAAUAUAUAUAGUUCUGCAAAUUUUGGGCAAUUGUUCGGCAAGGGUAGCAAUGAUCCUAUUCGAUGAUGUAUCUGUCCGUUGACACGAAAGACAUAGGGUCUGUCACCAUCAUUUAUUUUUUUAUCGAUAUUUCCACCCAUAGAUGUAAACGCAAACAUACUAUUAUAUUGUCGUAUUUUUUGUAGAAAAUGUCUGGAUCUGCUAUCCUUCUUUUGAUGUAACAAUUCAUUUAGAUAAGGUGGAGGAUCUCUAUACUUUGGUAUUUUGAUUUUGCCAUUUUUGCAGCAGUUUGAAUACACUGGUUGCAAGUUAUUGUGCCUUGUCAUGGAUUUAUUGCGUUCAUUAAACCAGAAAAUAGCAUUACAAUGUGUACAUUUGUAUUCUGGUUUGCCGAGAAUGAGGAUGGGACAAAGGUUGAAUACAGGGUGUGGAACCCCUUCCAUUCCAAGCUGGCUGCUGCUGUGCUUGGUGGUGUUGACAACAUCUGGAUUGCUCCUGGUACUCGUGUGCUGUAUCUCGGUGCUACUUCUGGCACAACUGUCUCAUGGGUCUGAUAUUGUUGGACCAGUGAGGUUGGUCUAUGCUGUUGAGUUCUCUCACAGGAGUGGUAGGGAUCUUGUCAAUAUGGCAAAGAAGAGAACCAAUGUGAUCCCCAUUAUUGCUAAAGGGGACUUUCAUCAUGAAAGUGCUUUUUUUUUCUGUCGUUCUCUUAGCAGCAGGAGAUAGGAGUGGUAGGGAUCUUGUCAAAUAUGGCAAAGAAGAGAACCAAUGUGAUCCCCAUUAUUGCUAAAGGGGACUUUCAUCAUGAAAGUGCUUUUUUUUUUUCUGUCGUUCUCUUAGCAGCAGGAGAUUAUUGAAUCUCUAGCAGGUGGGCGAGCUUGGAUUUUUUUUUUCCAAUUAGACUGAUCUAUCUCUUUUCUUCUCUCCGGUAGGAAUUUUAGAAGUCUCAAGUUACUUGUAGUAAUUAGAAGAGUAAAAGUUAAAAAAGCUUCUGAUUCGUACC